Molecule: long non-coding RNA, 1332 nt
Filed under: Carassius auratus (goldfish)
Lineage: Eukaryota; Metazoa; Chordata; Actinopteri; Cypriniformes; Cyprinidae
Description: lncRNA (ENSCARG00000009943.1)
Source: RNAcentral
CCACAAUAUUCUCAUUUUUUAGAUGCACCUGUACACAUCACUCACUCACCUGCUGCCUGGCUCAUUUUAUGACUGAACCAAAAGUGUAGAAGCCCAUGGAUCAUGGGAAAUGCCUCCAUCUGGGAGAAAUGAAAACAUAUAUGAAUACAGUAAUGUUUUGUAAUGUAGUUUUUCUGUGAUUAGCGGCGGUUGCCAGUGAGGAAUUUGAAUGUUCAGUUUGCCGCCAAAAUAACGGUUAAUCACUCAGCAGAUCUGUCUGGAGAUUAAGAAGACUUCCAAAUACACUGGACAUACGUCUUUAUACUUCAAAACAAGUCAACUUGAACAACAAAGAUUCCAGCCGUAUCUGUCAUCCUGCCGAUAGGUGGCGCUGUUUGAUUGUGAUUGUUUACAGCAAGUUUUGCCGAGAAUACUAACCCCAACCAAAUCAAGCUCUGAUUAUAAUAGUUGAAAGUGUUAAUAUAGUCAGCAUUAAUGCUACAGUAAAAAAAGGAAAUGUUGUAAUAAUGUAUAAUUCCUCAUACAGCAUUUUUGCACCUGACAGUAGAUUUAAAUGGAAUGUGAUUUCAUAUUCGUUUUCAUAAUCUGUUAAACAACUCACAUGCACAGGCUUUUAAAAACCUUUUAAAAUGUCCAGGAAAGGCAGUGUUCUCAGCUGAAUGAUGCAGACAGCUAAUGGGAUCCAGCAGAUGUUUCCAGUGUGGAAUAAUUCAAUUUCAGUCUCUGUGUCAGUGAAGGUGCGAUGAUUUAUUCAUCUGUAGUUUGUUUAUGGCAUCUGUUGAGAUAAAGGAAGCUUUAGUUGAGUUACCAGCUGACACACAGGAUGCUGAGUCUCAUUAAUGUGCUUUUAUCUACUAUAAUUGUGUAAUGAUUUACUGUAAAUGCAUAUUAAACUGCAUAUGAGACUGGUUAUUGUAGAUUUUACUGCAGUGGAUAUUGCUUUGGUUUGAAGCCUCGCAAGUCUUCUGUGACUUGAUCUUUGUUCAGAUUUAGUUUUGUAGAGGAAAUGAUGAAUAAAUAAAGCGUGUGUGUUUUGAGCAUGUGCAUGUAAUGACACUGCAUGUGGGGGAUGUGUGGAUAAGAUAAUGCAUGUGUGUGUGUGUGUGUGUGUGUGUGUGUGCAUGAGUCAGUAAUGGACACUGCGAGUUGAAGGAGAGGUCAGGAAUAUGAAAGGCAGUGUGUGUCAGAGGAGAGGAGGGUUAUAAAAAGGCUUUAAUCACGAGAGCACUGAUCAUUACUGUCUCAUCACAACACUCUGUGUGUGUUACUGUAACUCUGAUUGUGUGCAUGUUAAGUUAAUAAUCACAUCUUCACGUCCUGCUCAGAUCUUUA